AUGCGCUCGUUGCUGUUGUGCUGCUCCUGCACAGGGUGUGGGCCUUGCCAGUUUGGGACAAACGUCUUCUGCUCCGGUUCCGGGUUUUGCCGUUUCCUACUGGUUCCAUCUUGCUGCCCUUCCAUAGCCUGGGUCAUUCAUACCAGCUAGCAGGCCAGGAGUCUUCAAUCUGUUUUGAUUACCUGUGUUUGUACUUACUUCCUGAUCCCCUUACCAAAGAUGGCCGGGGGCAGCACCCGAGAGCUGAGGGGAAAGAUCAGCUUUGGGUGCCGGCAUCGCAGGCGCCCA
Molecule: long non-coding RNA, 288 nt
Organism: Rana temporaria (common frog)
Lineage: Eukaryota; Metazoa; Chordata; Amphibia; Anura; Ranidae
Exons: 4
Source: RefSeq, a predicted model, not a curated record